UCUUUUGCCCCUUUUGUGAAAGAAACCAUGACUUUCCCUUUAUGAUUUGGUGUUAAACGCACAUUCUAAACCAAACCAAAACUGAUCAUAAACCCACUCUUUUCUGAUUCAUUAUGAAAAUGUAUGUGGA
Thalassophryne amazonica is the source of this 130-nucleotide long non-coding RNA. RefSeq lists it as uncharacterized. The transcript has 3 exons. Lineage: Eukaryota; Metazoa; Chordata; Actinopteri; Batrachoidiformes; Batrachoididae. The record is from RefSeq and is a predicted model, not a curated record.